This 253-nucleotide ribosomal RNA is filed under the name uncultured bacterium. RNAcentral describes it as "partial 16S ribosomal RNA". It matches the Rfam family "Bacterial small subunit ribosomal RNA", at positions 524 to 776 of the family's 1533-position model. The record is from RNAcentral.
AACGAAGGUGGCAAGCGUUGCUCGGAAUCACUGGGCAUAAAGCGCGCGUAGGUGGCUUGAUAAGUCGGUGGUGAAAUCCCAUGGCUCGACCAUGGAACUGCCGUCGAUACUGUCAGGCUUGAGGGCGGUAGGGGAGAGUGGAACUCCUGGUGUAGCGGUGAAAUGCGUAGAUAUCAGGAGGAACGCCGGUGGCGAAAGCGACUCUCUGGGCCGUUCCUGACACUAAAGCGCGAAAGCUAGGGGAGCAAACAGG